UGGGGAAUUUUGGACAAUGGGCGAAAGCCUGAUCCAGCAAUGCCGCGUGUGUGAAGAAGGCCUUCGGGUUGUAAAGCACUUUUGUCCGGAAAGAAAUCCUUGGCUCUAAUACAGUCGGGGGAUGACGGUACCGGAAGAAUAAGCACCGGCUAACUACGUGCCAGCAGCCGCGGUAAUACGUAGGGUGCAAGCGUUAAUCGGAAUUACUGGGCGUAAAGCGUGCGCAGGCGGUUUGCUAAGACCGAUGUGAAAUCCCCGGGCUCAACCUGGGAACUGCAUUGGUGACUGGCAGGCUAGAGUAUGGCAGAGGGGGGUAGAAUUCCACGUGCAGCAGUGAAAUGCGUAGAGAUGUGGAGGAAUACCGAUGGCGAAGGCAGCCCCUUGGGCCAAUACUGACGCUCAUGCACGAAAGCGUGGGGAGCAAACAGGAUUAGAUACCCUGGUAGUCCACGCCCUAAACGAUGUCAACUAGUUGUUGGGGAUUCAUUUCCUUAGUAACGUAGCUAACGCGUGAAGUUGACCGCCUGGGGAGUACGGUCGCAAGAUUAAAACUCAAAUGAAUUGACGGGGUC
Molecule: ribosomal RNA, 572 nt
Filed under: uncultured bacterium
Lineage: Bacteria
Description: partial 16S ribosomal RNA
Rfam family: Bacterial small subunit ribosomal RNA
Source: RNAcentral